RNAcentral lists this ribosomal RNA (497 nucleotides) under uncultured bacterium. RNAcentral describes it as "partial 16S ribosomal RNA". It matches the Rfam family "Bacterial small subunit ribosomal RNA", at positions 28 to 507 of the family's 1533-position model. The record is from RNAcentral.
GAUGAACGCUGGCGGCGUGCCUAAUACAUGCAAGUCGAGCGAACAGACGAGGAGCUUGCUCCUCUGACGUUAGCGGCGGACGGGUGAGUAACACGUGGAUAACCUACCUAUAAGACUGGGAUAACUUCGGGAAACCGGAGCUAAUACCGGAUAAUAUAUUGAACCGCAUGGUUCAAUAGUGAAAGACGGUUUUGCUGUCACUUAUAGAUGGAUCCGCGCCGCAUUAGCUAGUUGGUAAGGUAACGGCUUACCAAGGCAACGAUGCGUAGCCGACCUGAGAGGGUGAUCGGCCACACUGGAACUGAGACACGGUCCAGACUCCUACGGGAGGCAGCAGUAGGGAAUCUUCAGCAAUGGGCGAAAGCCUGACGGAGCAACGACGCGUGAGUGAUGAAGGUCUUCGGAUCGUAAAACUCUGUUAUUAGGGAAGAACAAAUGUGUAAGUAACUAUGCACGUCUUGACGGUACCUAAUCAGAAAGCCACGGCUAACUAAGUG